AGUCGAGGGAGAAGCCCUUUCGGGGGCAGAAACCGGCGCACGGGUGCGUAACGCGUAUGCAACCUACCUUUCACAGGGGGAUAGCCCGAAGAAAUUUGGAUUAAUACCCCAUAAUAUUAUUGGAUGGCAUCAUUUGAUAAUUAAAACUGAGGUGGUGAAAGAUGGGCAUGCGUCCUAUUAGCUAGUUGGAGUGGUAACGGCACCCCAAGGCUACGAUAGGUAGGGGUCCUGAGAGGGAGAUCCCCCACACUGGUACUGAGACAGGGACCAGACUCCUACGGGAGGCAGCAGUGAGGAAUAUUGGUCAAUGGUCGGAAGACUGAACCAGCCAUGCCGCGUGCAGGAAGAAUGCCUUAUGGGUUGUAAACUGCUUUUAUAUGGGAAGAAUAAGGCGUACGUGUACGUUGAUGACGGUACCAUAUGAAUAAGCAUCGGCUAACUCCGUGCCAGCAGCCGCGGUAAUACGGAGGAUGCGAGCGUUAUUCGGAAUCAUUGGGUUUAAAGGGUCUGUAGGCGGGCUAUUAAGUCA
This 529-nucleotide ribosomal RNA is filed under the name Capnocytophaga gingivalis. RNAcentral describes it as "bacterial SSU rRNA". It matches the Rfam family "Bacterial small subunit ribosomal RNA", at positions 60 to 590 of the family's 1533-position model. Lineage: Bacteria; Pseudomonadati; Bacteroidota; Flavobacteriia; Flavobacteriales; Flavobacteriaceae. The record is from RNAcentral.